Molecule: ribosomal RNA, 965 nt
Filed under: Parmotrema pilosum
Lineage: Eukaryota; Fungi; Ascomycota; Lecanoromycetes; Lecanorales; Parmeliaceae
Description: eukaryotic LSU rRNA
Rfam family: Eukaryotic large subunit ribosomal RNA
Source: RNAcentral
GGGAUUGCCUUAGUAACGGCGAGUGAAGCGGCAACAGCUCAAAUUUGAAAUCUGGCUCCUCCGGGGUCCGAGUUGUAAUUUGUAGAGAGUGUUUCGGGGGAGACCGCGGUCUAAGUCCAUUGGAACAUGGUGUCAUAGAGGGUGAGAAUCCCGUAUGCGACCGUGGAUCGAACCCAUGUGAAACCUCUUCGACGAGUCGAGUUGUUUGGGAAUGCAGCUCAAAAUGGGUGGUAAAUUUCAUCUAAAGCUAAAUACUGGCUGGAGACCGAUAGCGCACAAGUAGAGUGAUCGAAAGAUGAAAAGCACUUUGGAAAGAGAGUUAAACAGUACGUGAAAUUGUUGAAAGGGAAGCGCUUGCGACCAGACCUGCCCGCAGACGAUCAACCGCUGUUCUCAGCGGUGCACUCGUGCUGCGAUCAGGCCAGUAUCGGUUUCGGCGGUCGGAUAAAGGCCUUGGGAAUGUAGCUCUCUUUCGGGGGAGUUUUAUAGCCCUCGGUGCAAUGCGGCCAGCCGGGACCGAGGACCGCGCUUCGGCUAGGAUGCUGGCGUAAUGGUUGCAAGCGACCCGUCUUGAAACACGGACCAAGGAGUCUAACAUCUAUGCGAGUGUUUGGGUGUCAAACCCAUGCGCGGAAUGAAAGUGAACGGAGGUGAGAACCCUUAAGGGCGCAUCAUCGACCGAUCCAGAUGUCUUCGGAUGGAUUUGAGUAUGAGCAUAGCUGUUGGGACCCGAAAGGUAGGCUGAAAACCCCCGUCCUCCCUAUACUUUUAAUGCUAACAUAUUCGGUAGAUGGUGAACUAUGCCUGAAUAGGGUGAAGCCAGAGGAAACUCUGGUGGAGGCUCGCAGCGGUUCUGACGUGCAAAUCGAUCGUCAAAUUUGGGUAUAGGGGCGAAAGGCAAGGACCCCUCGUAUAAUCUGUUGUAUAGAGUUGUAAGCUAACUUAUUUUUAGACUAAUCGAACCA